CUAAAAGUUGACCUGUAACCUGAUGAGAAAAGACUUUUUGUCAUCAAGGUUACAGGUCACCUUUUUG
Molecule: non-coding RNA, 67 nt
Organism: Xyrichtys novacula (pearly razorfish)
Lineage: Eukaryota; Metazoa; Chordata; Actinopteri; Labriformes; Labridae
Source: the annotation of a GenBank genome assembly